RNAcentral lists this ribosomal RNA (194 nucleotides) under uncultured eukaryote. RNAcentral's name for it is "partial 18S ribosomal RNA". It matches the Rfam family "Eukaryotic small subunit ribosomal RNA", at positions 1 to 191 of the family's 1831-position model. The record is from RNAcentral.
UAAACCUGGUUGAUCCUGCCAGUAGUCAUAUGCUUGUCUCAAAGAUUAAGCCAUGCAUGUCUAAGUAUAAAUAAGUCUAUACUGUGAAACUGCGAAUGGCUCAUUAAAUCAGUUAUAGUUUACUUGAUAGUUCCUUACUACAUGGAUACCUGUGGUAAUUCUAGAGCUAAUACAUGCAUAAAAGCCCGACUUCU